CUCAAGCAGUAUAUAAUAAAGUAGAAAAUUAUUUAGAACAGCAGGCUGAAAUAGCACCUUCGUCACCCUCAUCACCUUCAACAUCAGCUAUAACAGAGAAUGUAAAUAAUAUAAACAGAGAACUAAAUGUUCUUAGUAAAGAGAAAAUUGAAAAGAAAUUUUUAAAGGAAAUAACGAAGACAAAGAAUUUAAGUAAGUUAAAUAAGAUAGUUAAAAAAUAUAAAUUUGAGGAUUUAAAAGAAG
RNAcentral lists this long non-coding RNA (243 nucleotides) under Manihot esculenta (cassava). RNAcentral describes it as "long non-coding RNA (MESC_LNC007758)". The record is from RNAcentral. Lineage: Eukaryota; Viridiplantae; Streptophyta; Magnoliopsida; Malpighiales; Euphorbiaceae.